UAGAGAUAUGCUUUACUUUUUGCAAUUCAUCUUUUGAAUUAGAUUUCCUCUAAAUCUGUUCCUACCAUAUUAUAUGAGUUAUGAUAUGGUAAGAAGCCAACUCUUGGGUAUCUCAAGAUUUAGGGAUGUUUGAUCCAUGUCAAGCGACAGUAGGUGGACAAGUUAGAGGUUAGAUCCUUUAGGGCUCACUUUACAGGGUAUCCUAAAAAAUUAUGGGAUACUACUUCUAUCUUCUUGAGGAUCACAAUGUGAUUUGAGCCGUCAUGCUAUCUUCUUGAAAAGAGAAUAUAUCCAAGAUGGAGGCAAU
RNAcentral lists this long non-coding RNA (307 nucleotides) under Elaeis guineensis (African oil palm). RNAcentral's name for it is "long non-coding RNA (EGUI_LNC047629)". The record is from RNAcentral. Lineage: Eukaryota; Viridiplantae; Streptophyta; Magnoliopsida; Arecales; Arecaceae.